ACAUGCAGUGCUCAUUGCUUAUUAUCCAAUGCAUUCCCUUUCUAGUGGUAAAAUUGUAAAUAACGAUACCUGGAUUACUACCGGUUAAAAUGCUACAUCGGUAUUAUCUGUGCGCUUGUGGAUCUUUUAUUUAUUUUCUAGAAAAGCAUAUACAUUUAAUACCAGCAUCUCUACAUCAUGUUCGGGAUGACAACUUAGCUUAAGUGGUGUUAGAGGUGUCAACAUAAGCAUUGAGGGUAGUUAUGCUGUAUUGACCCUAACAAACUAGUCAUGUAGUUAAAGUCAAGACUAUGUGCUCUUCAUCCAUUGAUCGCUACUUCUGUUCUUAGAAGUAUGCAACCACUUACAUCCACUACACAUUCUUCCUGUGCUACUUGUGUUCCUAGAAAUAACACCCACAUAUACGCACUACACUCUGUGCUGUUUCUAUCCUAUAGACAUGCACCUCCGCUGCUCCUACCCUAGUAGUACGCAUUCAUCCAUCCACAUAUACAUAUUCUUUCUCCACUCAGAAAAUAUUCUACUUCUACACUAGGAGGGGACACCCAAAAAUAUUCAUUGCUAGCAUAUCUUUUUCUACUUGUCCAUUAAAGAUCCAGUUAUUUCAGUUGAUACUCCAUACUGCUAUUAAUGCAUUAAAAGGAUUGGUUAUUAAAAAAAAGAAAAGAAAAGAAAGAGGACAAAAGUCUCAAAGGAAACAAAAAGUAGCCAGGUCCUUAUUUUCAGAUUAGGGAGGUAUGUUAUCCCCAAGGAGCAAAUGUAGAAUUAGAUUUUCACCAUCAGUCAUCACCCCUUAUCAUCGCCAUCAUUUUUAUCACUCAUUUCAUUCACUGCACUCGCAUGCAUAUAUGACAUGAUUGUAUGAUUAGUUUCUCUGGAUCCACGGUUUAACUAUGCAAUACAUACAAGUAGGUUUGAAUUGUCUCCUCAACUUAUAAGCUCCACAUAAGCCUAUUAGAAGUAGGAUGAGAGAGAGAAGGCAUGCCUUACACUUCUCUUGGAGAGAAUCCAAAAAUACCACAUAUGACAGACUUGGAAGGGUCGUACAAGGAAUCUCUAAGUCUUAUUUGAAAAAAAAAUCUUGCAAAAACUCCAAAAUAAUAGUUGUUGAAAGAGCUAGAGAUAUAACACUCAACUUAACCAUUCUAUCUUUCAACUACUCAAGACCUAAGACAAGGCUAUAAGCCCCAUUGUGAAAGGUAAUAUAGGUAAGUCUUGAGUCAGAAUAGUUUACUCUAAUUCGGAGGAUAGUUCUUGUUUGAACGUAUGUGUAUUUAUGAGGCGUGAGAUUAUUGCAGCAACUUCUGAUCCAUCACUGAGUUUAUCUUUGCAAUGGGACGAGCAAAGUGUAAGCCUGGGGGAGUUUGUUGACGGUAGAUAACUCCUAUUUUUAAUCAUCAAUAUAUAGCUAAAGGGGGCAUAAUUGUAAUAUCAACAUAGACAUAGGGGUUUUUGGUGAAUAUCUAUUUCUGCAUGGCGUUAUCAGAAAAGAGCCAAAUAGGGCAUACAUGCCAUGUUUACAUAGAGACAGGAGCAAGAGGGCACACAUGUCAUAUUUACAU
This 1562-nucleotide long non-coding RNA is filed under the name Sorghum bicolor (sorghum). RNAcentral's name for it is "long non-coding RNA (SBIC_LNC001117)". Lineage: Eukaryota; Viridiplantae; Streptophyta; Magnoliopsida; Poales; Poaceae. The record is from RNAcentral.